This 21-nucleotide non-coding RNA is filed under the name Caenorhabditis elegans. Lineage: Eukaryota; Metazoa; Nematoda; Chromadorea; Rhabditida; Rhabditidae. The record is from RNAcentral.
UAGAACUGGAAAAAACUACUG